Dicentrarchus labrax (European seabass) is the source of this 588-nucleotide long non-coding RNA. RefSeq lists it as uncharacterized. The transcript is spliced from 2 exons. NCBI's taxonomy places the organism in Eukaryota, Metazoa, Chordata, Actinopteri, Moronidae. The record is from RefSeq and is a predicted model, not a curated record.
UCCAGACCCUGGGUUCAAGCAGACAACAAGGAAGCCACUGCAAAGAUCCGAGACCUGGACUGAUGUGAUCCACUUUGUUGAUCUUAGUGAGGACUCUAGCAGCAGCAGCGUUCUGAACAUGCUGCAGCUGUCUGAACGCAGGAAACAUCAUAAAAAUUAUUAUUAUUAUUAAAACCUCUCAAAGACUCAGUUUGAAGAAUAUAAAUCAAUGCCAUAUUCUUACUUUAAUGUCCACCUCGGUGCUCUGAGAUUUUUCUGUAUUGUCUGCCUGGGAAUGCUUGGAGUCCUCACUGAGUUUGGUGAUGUUCUUGACCACCUGUGAAGAUGCACACCAAACAAUAGUCCUGCAUUAUAUCAUCAUCAUCAUCAUCAUCAUCAUCAUCAUCAUCAUCAUCAUCAUCAUCAUCAUCAUCAUCAUCAUCAUCAUCAUCAUCAUCACACUGUCAGUUGAUCCUCCAACCUGUCUGAAGGCAUCUCCUUCAUCCUCUUUGCCAGCAUUCUGGGCAAUCUUCUCCAGUGCAGCAGCCCUCUUGGCCCUCUUCUUCACUUUGAUCAGGCAGGACAGCAGACAAACCAGCAGAAGGAAAA